GAGAGACAGAAGGAGGUGGAAUUGGGCAGCUGAUGCCUUGAAAAUGAUCAGGAAGGAAGGCAGUGGGGUGCCGGGCCGCAGGUAGGCUGGGAGGGCAGGCCUUGAAUUUGUCGAUACCAGCAGCACCCUUUUUUUCCAGACAAAGUGUUGUGAACCCGCCUGGGGUUGAGGCCUGGUCUUGUGGAAAGUGAACUUAGCUUCAUGGGGCUGACAGCUCUGGCCCAGGAUGGUAUGUAAUUUUGGCUCAGCCUACGACAUUGUUCAGGCCAAGCCCAGCCUGGGGGG
Molecule: non-coding RNA, 285 nt
Organism: Ceratotherium simum simum (southern white rhinoceros)
Lineage: Eukaryota; Metazoa; Chordata; Mammalia; Perissodactyla; Rhinocerotidae
Source: RefSeq, a predicted model, not a curated record